This 28-nucleotide small RNA is filed under the name Bombyx mori (domestic silkworm). RNAcentral describes it as "ovarian small RNA-37110". The record is from RNAcentral. Lineage: Eukaryota; Metazoa; Arthropoda; Insecta; Lepidoptera; Bombycidae.
UUCCACAGGAGAAAUUCGCCCCGGAUCC